CACUGCCGAUCCCGACCCUCUCUUCCCCGAUUUCCUUCUCCCCUCUCUUCUUCCCGAUCUCUCUCUGUUCUCUCUCGCGGGCAAGCGACGGCGACGGGAGCAAGGCUCCAGCUCCGGCGAUCCUUCUCCGCUGGCAUCGAUGCCUAUUAAUCUCAGAUCUGGCUGGUGUUCUUUCCUCUCCUCGCUGUUGCCGAUCAUUUCUCGAGCCCUAACCUCUCAGCAGAUGGCCGACCAUCGCUCUUCUCAUGAGAUCGGGUUAGCAGCGCCUGAGGUACACGCGGUGCCCUAGUUGAGAUCUUGCAGUGGGUGUGAUUGAUUCCAAUCCGUGUCUCCUCAAGUUGGAUCAGAUUGGGCGACACCUCCUGGAGGCAACCGAUCGAGAGGUAUCCGGUUAGUGGACAGCAGCUGGAUUAGGGCAGUGAGGUGAGGUGCUGUUUUGGUGGAGUAUUUGCUUGAUUCCGGCCACCACAUCCCUGUCAACAAAUUGGCACAUCUGAGGCAAGCAACAAUCCUUGCUGUGGAUCAACAAUCAUGGUUGGAGGUGAAGUGGUGCUCUGUGGUAUUCUUUGUCCAACAGAUCACCUUGUCUUUCCAGCUAGCUCAGUUGGUUUCCAGCAGCUACAUUAGGGCUGUGAGGUUUUGUUCUGUUCUUGCUGUGGUGUUUCCUUGCCGGCAGCACUCAAACCAGCAUCAACAGUAGCUUGAUUGAGGUAUGUGUAGGAGCAAUUGAUACAUGAGCAGGUUGUGGAUGGAUUAUACAAGUUUUUGAUUGUGUGUAGGUUUUUGAUCUUGUUGUAAAAUGGUUAAUUUAGGUUUAUAUGUUGAAUUAGGGAUUAUUGGAUUACAUGAUUACUGGAUGGUUAGUGAUUGUGAUUAGAAUUAAUUGUUUAGAUUAAUCUAAUGGAAUGAUUAGGGUUAAGGUUAUUAAUCCUAGUCAACCGUUAGAUUUCUAAUCUAACGGGUGAUUAGGGAUUAGGUAAUUAACCCUAAUUGACCGUUAGAUUUGAUUAGGUAGGAUGAGUUGGAUAUGAGUAGGGUUUUACCCUAAUUUGGU
Molecule: long non-coding RNA, 1054 nt
Organism: Zingiber officinale
Lineage: Eukaryota; Viridiplantae; Streptophyta; Magnoliopsida; Zingiberales; Zingiberaceae
Exons: 3
Source: RefSeq, a predicted model, not a curated record